Molecule: long non-coding RNA, 1165 nt
Filed under: Equus caballus (horse)
Lineage: Eukaryota; Metazoa; Chordata; Mammalia; Perissodactyla; Equidae
Description: lncRNA (ENSECAG00000056761.1)
Source: RNAcentral
GGGAAUUACCUCUGGAACCCUACAGCAUUCUGAGCUGACAACUGUUGGAGUCUCUGUUUUACAGAGGCAGAAACUGACGCAUAAAGGGGCUAGUUGUUAACUCAAAGCCCACAGCCAGUAAGUGGAGGAGCGAGGAUUUGAACCCGGGCCUCAGCUCCAGGAUCCACGGCCGUGUCCUCAUCUGUGCGGUGGGGCCGUUAAGGAUAAGCCACUACAGGGUGGUUCUAGGAAUAGACACCUUCCUAUGCGGGAUGCACUUAGCGUGCACUUAAGCACCUGGUGAAUGCUGGUCACGUUACUCUCCUGUAGGUCAAGGGGGAGAAUCAAGGCCAGGUGAGUCGAAGUGUUCAGAUCUGUCCUUAAGAUGCGUACGUUUUAUUUGCACAUUACAGCCCAAGUUACAAAAAUACACAGGGAACAUGCCAGCUCCAGGAAGUGGCUGAGGGACUGGCUGGACUUGAUGGGUGCUGCAGUCCCAGCCACCCAAGAGCCAGAAGGUGAACCAGAUACGGGACUCGGCAUCCAAAACGUCCUGUGGAGUCCAGGAGGGACCACUCCUGUGCUUUCCCUGGCCGGAGUGUGCCUGUGUUUCUUCCCUGGAGUGCUGGUCCCCGUGGGCCCCUGGGGCUUCUGCCGGCUGCAGUGUACAGAGGCCAGGCAUGGCUGCCCGUGCAGUUUCGCUCACACAUGGCCCUCCCACCCGGGGCUGGCCGACUCUCAGCUGCCGCCCUGGACAGUUGUUUGGGGCAGCUGGCACGUCCCUCCCUUCCUUGAGGAACUCCCACCCCUCAAGCCCAGGCUGCAACAAUCAUGGUCCCCUGCCUACCCGCAGCCCGACCCCUGCUGCCCCAAGAGUGGAAUGUGACUCAAGGUCGGAUCGUCCUAGUCCAGCACCCUCCCUCGGGGCCGGGGCAGGCUGCACCACACCCCCCCUGAAGUCAGAUGUGGCUGUGGACUCACUUGAUGAACUGUGAGCUCAGUGGCUGGUGCAUCUCCCGGGUGGAAGCUUUCCAAGCCAGUGGGUGACUCCCUGGGUGCCCUCCCCUGUGCCACCGUGAUGGCCAGAGCAUAUUUUGAGUCAUAGCAUCUGUUAGCCUGGGGCCCUGAAAGCCCAGGGUGGGUAGAGCCCCUGUCACCCUGGGGUGGAUGUUCAGUGUGAGUGACA